Molecule: ribosomal RNA, 445 nt
Filed under: uncultured bacterium
Lineage: Bacteria
Description: partial 16S ribosomal RNA
Rfam family: Bacterial small subunit ribosomal RNA
Source: RNAcentral
GUAGGGAAUAUUGGGCAAUGGAGGCAACUCUGACCCAGCCAUGCCGCGUGCAGGAUGACGACCCUCUGGGUUGUAAACUGCUUUUAUACGGGAAGAAAAAAUACUACGUGUAGUAUACUGACGGUACCGUAAGAAUAAGGAUCGGCUAACUCCGUGCCAGCAGCCGCGGUAAUACGGAGGAUCCAAGCGUUGUCCGGAUUUAUUGGGUUUAAAGGGUGCGUAGGCGGAUCUUUAAGUCAGUGGUGAAAGCCUGCAGCUUAACUGUAGAAUUGCCAUUGAAAGUGAAGAUCUUGAAUGUGGUUAAAGUAGGCGGAAUGUAUCAUGUAGCGGUGAAAUGCUUAGAUAUGAUACAGAACACCGAUAGCGAAGGCAGCUUGCUGAACCAUUAUUGACGCUGAGGCACGAAAGCGUGGGGAGCGAACAGGAUUAGAAACCCCAGUAGUCC